Molecule: long non-coding RNA, 387 nt
Organism: Leguminivora glycinivorella
Lineage: Eukaryota; Metazoa; Arthropoda; Insecta; Lepidoptera; Tortricidae
Exons: 3
Source: RefSeq, a predicted model, not a curated record
UUGCAUAUUGCCAUUUGGACAGCGGAUUCGUAGAUCAAUCUCAUUGAUAAGUGAAGAUACCUUAUCAGUGUAAGUCGAGGCGACAUACAUCAAUAAGCCAGUUGUUGCCAACCGUUGAUGAGAGCGGAUCUAAGAUAAAUUAAGUGGUGUGAUUUGCUGUGGCACUGGGCUCAUUUUGCAUAUUGCCAUUUGGACAGCGGAUUCGUAGAUCAAUCUCAUUGAUAAGUGAAGAUACCUUAUCAGUGUAAGUCGAGGCGACAUACAUCAAUAAGCCAGUUGUUGCCAACCGUUGAUGAGAGCGGAUCUAAGAUAAAUUAAGUGGUGUGAUUUGCUGUGGCACUGGGCUCAUUUUGCAUAUUGCCAUUUGGACAGCGGAUUCGUAGAUCA